GACGAACGCUGGCGGCGUGCCUAAUACAUGCAAGUAGAACGCUGAAGGAGGAGCUUGCUCUUCUGGAUGAGUUGCGAACGGGUGAGUAACGCGUAGGUAACCUGCCUGGUAGCGGGGGAUAACUAUUGGAAACGAUAGCUAAUACCGCAUAAGAGUAGAUGUUGCAUGACAUUUACUUAAAAGGUGCAAUUGCAUCACUACCAGAUGGACCUGCGUUGUAUUAGCUAGUUGGUGGGGUAACGGCUUACCAAGGCGACGAUACAUAGCCGACCUGAGAGGGUGAUCGGCCACUCUGGGACUGAGACACGGCCCAGACUCCUACGGGAGGCAGCAGUAGGGAAUCUUCGGCAAUGGACGGAAGUCUGACCGAGCAACGCCGCGUGAGUGAAGAAGGUUUUCGGAUCGUAAAGCUCUGUUGUAAGAGAAGAACGAGUGUGAGAGUGGAAAGUUCACACUGUGACGGUAUCUUACCAGAAAGGGACGGCUAACUACGUG
RNAcentral lists this ribosomal RNA (495 nucleotides) under uncultured bacterium. Its description in RNAcentral is "partial 16S ribosomal RNA". It matches the Rfam family "Bacterial small subunit ribosomal RNA", at positions 28 to 507 of the family's 1533-position model. The record is from RNAcentral.